GACGAACGCUGGCGGCGUGCUUAACACAUGCAAGUCGAACGGAAAGGCCCUGCUUUUGUGGGGUGCUCGAGUGGCGAACGGGUGAGUAACACGUGAGUAACCUGCCCUUGACUGUGGGAUAACCUCAGGCAACCGGUGCUAAUACCGGCUAGGAGCUCCUGCUGCAUGGUGGGGGUUGGAAAGUUUAGGCGGUUGGGGAUGGACGCGCGGCUUAUCAGCUUGUUGGUGGGGUAGUGGCCUACCAAGGCUUUGACGGGUAGCCGGCCUGCGAGGGGGACCGGGCACAUUGGGCCUGAGGUACGGCCCAGACUCCAAUGGUAGGCAGCGGUGGAGAGUAUUGUACAAUGGGCGGGAGCCUGAUGCGACAACGCCGCGUGCGGGAAGACGGCCAUGGGGUUGUAAAGCGCUUUCGCCUGUGACGAAGCGUGAUUGACGGUAAUGGGUAAAGAAGCACCGGCUAACUACGUG
This 468-nucleotide ribosomal RNA is filed under the name uncultured bacterium. RNAcentral describes it as "partial 16S ribosomal RNA". It matches the Rfam family "Bacterial small subunit ribosomal RNA", at positions 28 to 507 of the family's 1533-position model. The record is from RNAcentral.